GCCCAGGUGGUGGAAUUGGUAGACACGCUAGCUUGAGGGGCUAGUGGUAGCAAUAUCGUGCGGGUUCGAGUCCCGCCUUGGGCACCA
This 87-nucleotide transfer RNA is filed under the name Desulfovibrio sp. OttesenSCG-928-F07. Its description in RNAcentral is "tRNA-Leu". It matches the Rfam family "tRNA". From Rfam's summary of the family: Transfer RNA (tRNA) molecules are approximately 80 nucleotides in length. Their secondary structure includes four short double-helical elements and three loops (D, anti-codon, and T loops). The record is from RNAcentral. Lineage: Bacteria; Pseudomonadati; Thermodesulfobacteriota; Desulfovibrionia; Desulfovibrionales; Desulfovibrionaceae.